UUAAGCGACUAAGCGUACACGGUGGAUGCCCUGGCAGUCAGAGGCGAUGAAGGACGUGCUAAUCUGCGAUAAGCGUCGGUAAGGUGAUAUGAACCGUUAUAACCGGCGAUUUCCGAAUGGGGAAACCCAGUGUGAUUUGUCACACUAUCAUUAACUGAAUCCAUAGGUUAAUGAGGCGAACCGGGGGAACUGAAACAUCUAAGUACCCCGAGGAAAAGAAAUCAACCGAGAUUCCCCCAGUAGCGGCGAGCGAACGGGGAGGAGCCCAGAGCCUGAAUCAGUGUGUGUGUUAGUGGAAGCGUCUGGAAAGGCGCGCGAUACAGGGUGACAGCCCCGUACACAAAAAUGCACAUGCUGUGAGCUCGAUGAGUAGGGCGGGACACGUGGUAUCCUGUCUGAAUAUGGGGGGACCAUCCUCCAAGGCUAAAUACUCCUGACUGACCGAUAGUGAACCAGUACCGUGAGGGAAAGGCGAAAAGAACCCCGGCGAGGGGAGUGAAAAAGAACCUGAAACCGUGUACGUACAAGCAGUGGGAGCACGCUUCGGCGUGUGACUGCGUACCUUUUGUAUAAUGGGUCAGCGACUUAUAUUCUGUAGCAAGGUUAACCGAAUAGGGGAGCCGAAGGGAAACCGAGUCUUAACUGGGCGUUAAGUUGCAGGGUAUAGACCCGAAACCCGGUGAUCUAGCCAUGGGCAGGUUGAAGGUUGGGUAACACUAACUGGAGGACCGAACCGACUAAUGUUGAAAAAUUAGCGGAUGACUUGUGGCUGGGGGUGAAAGGCCAAUCAAACCGGGAGAUAGCUGGUUCUCCCCGAAAGCUAUUUAGGUAGCGCCUCGUGAAUUCAUCUCCGGGGGUAGAGCACUGUUUCGGCAAGGGGGUCAUCCCGACUUACCAACCCGAUGCAAACUGCGAAUACCGGAGAAUGUUAUCACGGGAGACACACGGCGGGUGCUAACGUCCGUCGUGAAGAGGGAAACAACCCAGACCGCCAGCUAAGGUCCCAAAGUCAUGGUUAAGUGGGAAACGAUGUGGGAAGGCCCAGACAGCCAGGAUGUUGGCUUAGAAGCAGCCAUCAUUUAAAGAAAGCGUAAUAGCUCACUGGUCGAGUCGGCCUGCGCGGAAGAUGUAACGGGGCUAAACCAUGCACCGAAGCUGCGGCAGCGACACUAUGUGUUGUUGGGUAGGGGAGCGUUCUGUAAGCCUGUGAAGGUGGCCUGUGAGGGUUGCUGGAGGUAUCAGAAGUGCGAAUGCUGACAUAAGUAACGAUAAAGCGGGUGAAAAGCCCGCUCGCCGGAAGACCAAGGGUUCCUGUCCAACGUUAAUCGGGGCAGGGUGAGUCGACCCCUAAGGCGAGGCCGAAAGGCGUAGUCGAUGGGAAACAGGUUAAUAUUCCUGUACUUGGUGUUACUGCGAAGGGGGGACGGAGAAGGCUAUGUUGGCCGGGCGACGGUUGUCCCGGUUUAAGCGUGUAGGCUGAUUUUCCAGGCAAAUCCGGAAAAUCAAGGCUGAGGCGUGAUGACGAGGCACUACGGUGCUGAAGCAACAAAUGCCCUGCUUCCAGGAAAAGCCUCUAAGCAUCAGGUAACAUCAAAUCGUACCCCAAACCGACACAGGUGGUCAGGUAGAGAAUACCAAGGCGCUUGAGAGAACUCGGGUGAAGGAACUAGGCAAAAUGGUGCCGUAACUUCGGGAGAAGGCACGCUGAUAUGUAGGUGAAGCGACUUGCUCGUGGAGCUGAAAUCAGUCGAAGAUACCAGCUGGCUGCAACUGUUUAUUAAAAACACAGCACUGUGCAAACACGAAAGUGGACGUAUACGGUGUGACGCCUGCCCGGUGCCGGAAGGUUAAUUGAUGGGGUUAGCGGUAACGCGAAGCUCUUGAUCGAAGCCCCGGUAAACGGCGGCCGUAACUAUAACGGUCCUAAGGUAGCGAAAUUCCUUGUCGGGUAAGUUCCGACCUGCACGAAUGGCGUAAUGAUGGCCAGGCUGUCUCCACCCGAGACUCAGUGAAAUUGAACUCGCUGUGAAGAUGCAGUGUACCCGCGGCAAGACGGAAAGACCCCGUGAACCUUUACUAUAGCUUGACACUGAACAUUGAGCCUUGAUGUGUAGGAUAGGUGGGAGGCUUUGAAGUGUGGACGCCAGUCUGCAUGGAGCCGACCUUGAAAUACCACCCUUUAAUGUUUGAUGUUCUAACGUUGACCCGUGAUCCGGGUUGCGGACAGUGUCUGGUGGGUAGUUUGACUGGGGCGGUCUCCUCCUAAAGAGUAACGGAGGAGCACGAAGGUUGGCUAAUCCUGGUCGGACAUCAGGAGGUUAGUGCAAUGGCAUAAGCCAGCUUGACUGCGAGCGUGACGGCGCGAGCAGGUGCGAAAGCAGGUCAUAGUGAUCCGGUGGUUCUGAAUGGAAGGGCCAUCGCUCAACGGAUAAAAGGUACUCCGGGGAUAACAGGCUGAUACCGCCCAAGAGUUCAUAUCGACGGCGGUGUUUGGCACCUCGAUGUCGGCUCAUCACAUCCUGGGGCUGAAGUAGGUCCCAAGGGUAUGGCUGUUCGCCAUUUAAAGUGGUACGCGAGCUGGGUUUAGAACGUCGUGAGACAGUUCGGUCCCUAUCUGCCGUGGGCGCUGGAGAACUGAGGGGGGCUGCUCCUAGUACGAGAGGACCGGAGUGGACGCAUCACUGGUGUUCGGGUUGUCAUGCCAAUGGCACUGCCCGGUAGCUAAAUGCGGAAGAGAUAAGUGCUGAAAGCAUCUAAGCACGAAACUUGCCCCGAGAUGAGUUCUCCCUGACUCCUUGAGAGUCCUGAAGGAACGUUGAAGACGACGACGUUGAUAGGCCGGGUGUGUAAGCGCAGCGAUGCGUUGAGCUAACCGGUACUAAUGAACCGUGAGGCUUAACCUU
This 2903-nucleotide ribosomal RNA is filed under the name Escherichia coli. Its description in RNAcentral is "bacterial LSU rRNA". It matches the Rfam family "Bacterial large subunit ribosomal RNA". Lineage: Bacteria; Pseudomonadati; Pseudomonadota; Gammaproteobacteria; Enterobacterales; Enterobacteriaceae. The record is from RNAcentral.